Molecule: ribosomal RNA, 168 nt
Filed under: uncultured Acaulospora
Lineage: Eukaryota; Fungi; Glomeromycota; Glomeromycetes; Diversisporales; Acaulosporaceae
Description: partial 18S ribosomal RNA
Source: RNAcentral
CCUGAAAGCACAUUGGGCCCCCACCCCCGGUAAUUCCAGCUCCCAUAGCGUAUAUUAAAGUUGUUGCAGUUAAAAAGCUCGUAGUUGAAUUUCGGAAUCUGUCCGUCGGUCGGGCUUCACUGUCCGCACUGGUGUGAUGGGUCCUUCCUUUCUGAAUAACCGGCAUGU